CAUCACCACCACCACCACCACCCCCAACACACACACACACACACACACACACACUUCAAUUGAAACCGCACGAGGCCUGUCACAGCGUGAUUACUGCGUCCUUAUUGUAACCUGAACACAUUACAGUGAAGUCCCAGCUCGAGCCAAUCCCCUGCUCCAUCACCUGGCUGACCUUCAGCAUGGCUCUUCCUCUCUGACUCGCAGGCACAUUUUUAUCUUUCUAUCAGCAAAUAGGUUGAAGCCCCAGCACUGCCCAGCUGCCCCUGUUGAGUCCUUCACCCUCUCUGCUCCAGGGCACUGUGUCAUCAUCUUCUUCUUCAUCAUCAUCAUCAUCAUCAUUUACAUUUCUGGCAUUUGGCAGAUGCUCUUAUCCAGAGCAACAUACAAAAGUGCUUUAAGUCUCUGUCAUUGAAAACAUUAACACUGGUUCAGUAGAUUACAAACUCAGGAGACCAGGAGCCUAAAAUUGGAUGUUUUUUUGUUUUUUUAUUAAACAUAUAACAAUAUAUAAACAGGGGAAGAUAAGAGCUAGUUUAAGUGCCUCAGGAAGAGGUAGGUCUUAAGACGUCGUUUGAAGACAGUCAGAGACUCUGCUGUAUGGACAUCUAGGUGAAGUUCAUUCCACCACCUCGGUGCCAGAACAGAGAAGAGUCUAGAUGAAUACCUACCUUUUACCCUGAGAGAUGGUGGGACCAGUCGAGCAGUGAUAGUGGAUCGGAGGGAGCGAGGAGCAGUGCGAGGAGUAAUAAGGUCUUUGAGGUCAGAUGGUGCUGGUCCAUUCUUGGCUUUGUAGGCAAGCAUCAGUGUUUUGAAUCUGAUGCGUGCAGCUACCGGAAGCCAGUGGAGGGAACGCAGCAGUGGGGUGGUGUGGGAGAACUUAGACAGGUUGAAGACAAGCCGUGCAGCUGCAUUUGGAUCAUUUGCAGUGGACGAAUUGCAUUCAGAGGAAGACCUGCCAGUAAAGAGUUGCAGUAGUCCAGUCUCAAAAUGACCAGAGACUGAACAAGCAUCAUCAUCUUCUUCUUCUUCAUCAUCAUCUUCAUCAACAUCAUCAUCAUCUUCUUCAUCUUCUUUAUAAAGGAAUGAAUUAAAGUGAAAGCGGGUUCAUUAAACACUCAGUGUCACUCACUGAGCAUGGACAUGUUCAUCUGUAUCUAUCUGUAUUUAUACAAUAAA
This is a long non-coding RNA of Hemibagrus wyckioides, 1176 nucleotides long. RefSeq lists it as uncharacterized. The record is from RefSeq and is a predicted model, not a curated record. The transcript has 3 exons. NCBI's taxonomy places the organism in Eukaryota, Metazoa, Chordata, Actinopteri, Siluriformes, Bagridae.